CACAUUACAUCUCAUUUAUUUCAUAAAUAUGACAAAUAUUGUCAUUUUCUUUAUAUUAUAACAUGUAUCAAACAUUGUGUGUCUAGAAUAUCAAUAUGAACACCAUUAUCAUAACACAAUUGAAUAAGAUGCCAUAUUUAGCGAGAAGUUUUGUGAAGAAAAUUUUCUGUGAUGCUUCUGUUACAGCAGUUCACAGUUUGGCCAUUGUUCGAUAGCACUGCUGAUUGAUUUUAUCCUUAUGAAACUCCUCAAAGUGUUGUCUGGAAUGGAUAAGUCAGGAAACAAUUCAUUAAGGCAUUCUCAAACUCUAAUAGCAAAAUGCAUAGGAGCUCCAUCUUCUUGCAGGAUUAUGGCAUUUGCUACAAUAUUAGAAUAUUUGAAGAAAAAAGCAUACUUGCCACUGCAAAACUUCUUGCUAAGCAUUGCAUCAUAUUCAGUAAUUAUUAUUGUGUAUCCACUAUAUCAAUAUGAUGCUCAUAUUGAUAUAGUGGAUACACAAUGUUCAAUACAUGUUAUGAUGUGGAGCAGGUGACAAUAUCUGUUGUACUUCUGAAAUAAAU
This 560-nucleotide long non-coding RNA is filed under the name Androctonus crassicauda. The record is from RNAcentral. Lineage: Eukaryota; Metazoa; Arthropoda; Arachnida; Scorpiones; Buthidae.